Molecule: ribosomal RNA, 498 nt
Filed under: uncultured bacterium
Lineage: Bacteria
Description: partial 16S ribosomal RNA
Rfam family: Bacterial small subunit ribosomal RNA
Source: RNAcentral
GACGAACGCUGGCGGCGUGCCUAAUACAUGCAAGUCGAACGAGAGCGCCCGGUGCUUGCACUGGUCAAUCUAGUGGCGAACGGGUGAGUAACACGUGGGUAACCUGCCCAUCAGAGGGGGAUAACAUUCGGAAACGGAUGCUAAAACCGCAUAGGUCUUCGAACCGCAUGGUUUGAAGAGGAGAAGAGGCGCAAGCUUCUGCUGAUGGAUGGACCCGCGGUGCAUUAGCUAGUUGGUGAGGUAACGGCUCACCAAGGCCGUGGUGCAUAGCCGACCUGAGAGGGUGAUCGGCCACAUUGGGACUGAGACACGGCCCAAACUCCUACGGGAGGCAGCAGUAGGGAAUCUUCCGCAAUGGACGCAAGUCUGACGGAGCAACGCCGCGUGAGUGAAGAAGGUUUUCGGAUCGUAAAACUCUGUUGUUAGAGAAGAAUAAGUGCUAGAGUAACUGUUAGCGCCUUGACGGUAUCUAACCAGAAAGCCACGGCUAACUACGUG